Molecule: non-coding RNA, 108 nt
Filed under: Palpitomonas bilix
Lineage: Eukaryota
Source: RNAcentral
GCCUACAUGGUCGUGUGCCAUUUCCCUUUUCAUGUUUUUCUUCUUCUUUUUUUUUUAACCCACUCCCAUUUUUGUCACUUUGCUUUUCUACAGGUGGAUUUAUGCAAA